This is a long non-coding RNA of Plutella xylostella (diamondback moth), 134 nucleotides long. RefSeq lists it as uncharacterized. The record is from RefSeq and is a predicted model, not a curated record. Lineage: Eukaryota; Metazoa; Arthropoda; Insecta; Lepidoptera; Plutellidae.
GAUAACGUAUUCAGGCGCCUUUAAUUCCGUUUGAAAAAUUGGAAGAACGAGUUGCAGCGGUUACAGGUGUGAGUGAAGCUGCGAACCUAUACCUUAGGCAGUAUACCAAGAAUAAUUUCUCGCACCUGCAGUGA